RNAcentral lists this ribosomal RNA (1178 nucleotides) under uncultured eukaryote. Its description in RNAcentral is "SSU rRNA". It matches the Rfam family "Eukaryotic small subunit ribosomal RNA", at positions 21 to 1225 of the family's 1831-position model. The record is from RNAcentral.
UAUCUCUCGCAUGUCUCAAGAUUAAGCCAUGCAUGUCUAAGUACACACUGUGGCACAGUGGAACCGCGAAUGGCUCAUUAAAUCAGUUAUGGUUUAUUAGAUCGUGCGUUCUAUGUGGAUAACUGUGGUAAUUCUAGAGCUAAUACAUGCAACUGGCCCUGACUUUACGGAGGGGCGCUUUUAUUAGAUCAAAACCAAUCACACUUCGGUGUGUUGUUGUGAUGACUCUGGAUAACUUUGUGCCGACCGCAUGGCCUUGUGCCGGCGGCGUAUCUUUCAAAUGUCUGCCCUAUCAACUUUCGAUGGUAGGUGAUAUGCCUACCAUGGUUGUAACGGGUAACGGAGAAUCAGGGUUCGAUUCCGGAGAGGGAGCCUGAGAAACGGCUACCACAUCCAAGGAAGGCAGCAGGCGCGCAAAUUACCCACUCCCGGCACGGGGAGGUAGUGACGAAAAAUAACAAUGCUGGGCUUCAAGUCCGGUAAUUGGAAUGAGUACACUUUAAAUCCUUUAACGAGGAUCUAGUGGAGGGCAAGUCUGGUGCCAGCAGCCGCGGUAAUUCCAGCUCCACGAGCAUGUACGUAAGUUGUUGCAGUUAAAAAGCUCGUAGUUGGAUCUCAGACCUGUGGUCAGUGGUCCGAUCUAAUUGGUUGUGUACUGCUGUACCCGGUCUACGUCUGGUUUUAUGUCUGUGUUUGCCCUUUACCGGGUGAUGCAGGCUGCCAGAAAGUUUACUCUGAAAAAAUUAGAGUGCUUAAAGCAAGCCGUUUGUGCUUGAAUACUGUUGCAUGGAAUAAUGAAAUAGGACCUCGGAUCUAUUUUGUUGGUUUUCGGAGUCGAGGUAAUGAUUAAGAGGGACAGACGGGGCAUUCGUAUUGCGCCGUUAGAGGUGAAAUUCUUGGAUCGGCGCAAGACGAACGACUGCGAAAGCAUUUGCCAAGGAUGUUUUCAUUAAUCAAGAACGAAAGUCAGAGGUUCGAAGACGAUCAGAUACCGUCGUAGUUCUGACCAUAAACGAUGCCAACUGGCGAUCCGCCGUAGUCUGUUGUUAACGAUUCGCGGGCAGCUCUGGGAACCUAAGUCUAUGGUUCGGGGGAGUAUGGUUGCAAGCUGAACUAAGAUGACGGAGGCACACAGAAUGAGCUGCGCCUAUUUGACUCACACGGAACUCACCGGGCAG